GUCGAGAAUCUUCCGCAAUGCGCGAAAGCGUGACGGAGCGACACCGCGUGAUGGAUGAAGUCCUUCGGGGCGUAAACAUCUUUUAUAAAGGAGGAAAUUUUUGACGUUACUUUAUGAAUAAGGGGCUCCCAAUCUCGUGCCAGCAGGAGCGGUAAUACGAGAGCCUCAAGCGUUAUCCGGAAUCAUUGGGCGUAAAGGGUGCGUAGGUGGUUUGAUUAGUCUCCCGUUAAAACUUCGAGCUUAACUCGAAAAGAGCGGGGGAAACGGUCAAACUAGAGUAUGUGAGAGGUGUGUGGAACUCAUGGUGUAGGGGUGAAAUCCGUUGAUAUCAUGGGGAACACCAAAGGCGAAGGCAGCACACUGGCACAUCACUGACACUGAGGCACGAAACCUAAGGUAGCGAAUGGGAUUAGAUACCCGUGUAGUCC
RNAcentral lists this ribosomal RNA (428 nucleotides) under uncultured bacterium. Its description in RNAcentral is "partial 16S ribosomal RNA". It matches the Rfam family "Bacterial small subunit ribosomal RNA", at positions 354 to 796 of the family's 1533-position model. The record is from RNAcentral.